CUGAUAGGCAAAUCCGUCAGUUGAGGUGAGAUGUGACGCCGAGAGAAGCUACGGCGGAUCGAAGCAGGUGGAGUCAUGGUGACAAGAAAGAACCUCUCAGGUAGACCAUACAGAGACCGUACCGCAAACCAACACAGGUCGGUAGGAUGAGUAUUCUCAGGCGCGCGGGAGAACUCGCGUUAAGGAACUCGGCAAAAUACAUACGUAACUUCGGGAUAAGUAUGGCCUUCGAGGGAUAGUAAUAUUUUGAGGAGGUUGCAGAGAAGAGGCUCAGGCGACUGUUUACCAAAAACAUAGGUCUGUGCGAAUCAGUAAUGAGACGUAUACGGACUGACACCUGCCCGGUGCUGGAAGGUUAAGAGGAGCGGUUAGUUUUCGGACGAAGCUGCGAAUUGAAGCCCCAGUAAACGGCGGCCGUAACUAUAACGGUCCUAAGGUAGCGAAAUUCCUUGUCGGGUAAGUUCCGACCCGCACGAAUGGUGUAACGAUCUGAGCGCUGUCUCAACGCGAGACCCGGUGAAAUUGGAGUAUCGGUGAAGAUACCGAUUACCCGUGGUUAGACGGAAAGACCCCGUGAACCUUUACUGCAGCUUGGCACUGAAACUUUGCCCGUCAUGUGUAGGAUAGGAGGGAGACUGUGAAGCCUGUACGCCAGUAUGGGUGGAGUCGUUGGUGAAAUACCUCCCUUGGCUGGUUAGGUUUCUCACACCGAUCCGUGAAGCCGGAGGGUGGACAGUGUCAGGUGGGCGGUUUGACUGGGGCGGUCGCCUCCUAAAGAGUAACGGAGGCGCGCGAAGGUUCCCUUGCGCUGGGUGGAAAUCAGCGUGUAUGUGCAAAGGCAGAAGGGAGCUUGACUGCGAGACCAACAAGUCGAGCAGGUGCGAAAGCAGGUCUUAGUGAUCUGGCGGUGGCGAGUGGAAGCGCCGUCACUUAACGGACAAAAGGUACUCCGGGGAUAACAGGCUGAUUUUGCCCAAGAGUUCAUAUCGACGGCAAAGUUUGGCACCUCGAUGUCGGCUCAUCGCAUCCUGGGGCUGGAGCAGGUCCCAAGGGUAUGGCUGUUCGCCAUUUAAAGCGGUACGUGAGCUGGGUUCAGAACGUCGCGAGACAGUUCGGUCCCUAUCUGCCACGGGCGUUGGAUGAUUGAGAGGAUCUGCCUUUAGUACGAGAGGACCGAGGUGGACAAACCUCUAGUGUACCAGUUAUCGUGCCAACGGUAAGUGCUGGGUAGCUACGUUUGGAAGGGAUAACCGCUGAAAGCAUCUAAGUGGGAAGCCCACCUCAAGAUGAGUCAUCCCAUCUCCCU
Molecule: ribosomal RNA, 1306 nt
Filed under: Alkalispirochaeta alkalica DSM 8900
Lineage: Bacteria; Pseudomonadati; Spirochaetota; Spirochaetia; Spirochaetales; Spirochaetaceae
Description: bacterial LSU rRNA
Rfam family: Bacterial large subunit ribosomal RNA
Source: RNAcentral